UCGUGGAGGCUGGUGUGUUGGGGGAAAGGAGUGAGAGCGUAAGGGUCGGCGGCGUAUGUCAUACAGACGCGCUCUGCUCGCUGGCUGUGUGCGCGGCAGCGGAGCGGAGGAAGGUCUAGGCGGCGCUCGGCCCUUGCUCCUUUUGCUUUCCUACCCUAGUUUUAAAUUACGUAACACCUUUUUACUCAAUGAACGGGACCCGUUUCUACUAUUUCUAUUUCGUUAGUGUCAUUCUUUACUAAUAGGCUUCGGGGGACAGGGAACAAAACUUUAGUGACUCCUAAAACUAAACCUUUUCCAACUCCUCGAAUACGAUCUUUCCCUAUAAUUCUAGCGGUUCAGGUACCGUUUACUGUAUUAGUAGGGUCUGGGACGAGGGUUCACCCACCCACUACGGAAGAACCUGUAUAUACGGUUUAACCUCGUGUAGGAACAUUUCCUAUCACAGGCCACGAAGGAGGCUAAAAAGCUCUUGACACUUCCGGUCCCGUACAGUAGAAUAGAAUGGUAGUGGCGUGUUUGGAAUUGGAAGUAACAGUCAAAGUUACGGGACGCUACACGUUUUCAGCAUAACCUCCCGUACCGUGGACUCGAGAUACCCUACGUGCGGUUAGGGUUGACGUAUUUGUUUAUACCUAUGAAGCACGAGGUACUUCGACGACUUUCCAAGAGACAACUGUACUAGUUCGACGAAAAUGCGGUACCACGUAGUGGGUUACACGCGUGUCAACCGUUACUACAGUAGCUCUUAGAUGAGGGCGAGGUACAGCGUCAACUCUUAUGAACGGACGUAUUCAUAGACCUCCUGUUAGACCUCCUGUUAGGAAGAGUGUCGGUCUUAGUACUCCUAUACAGAUGUUCGAAUAAGUAGACGACACAGAUGGACUUUACUUCUAGAAGAACCUGUGUUAAUCUGACGAACGUCUCUUUUGUUUAUUAGAUGAGCUUCUCGAGACCUUAAUAUAACUCCUACCUUUUUAAUAGGUCAGACGACAAGAUGAUGACCGACGAGUUCUCGUCUAGGCACCCCAAUCAAGAAGGUUCUAUUUACCGUCAUCAUUCUUUUUACCAAACUUUAGUAGCUCUUCACAUAUUGCUCCGUAAGUAUACGGAACUCUUUGCUCUUUCCAAGUGAACCUUACCAUGUCCUCGAAGACCUCCUUUCCUUCUGCGAAUUGCUAACACGUACCGACGAACAACUACAUUAAAGGGUACGGCCACUUCUAGAAAGACGUAUGUAAGUUCGCGUAAGACACCACAGGGUACACCUCCAGAAAGUUGUACAAAGUAGAUAAGAGUUCCUCACACCUAAAACGGGAUGACCUCUAGAAUACCUGUGAUAUUUGGAGGUCGGAAUACUGACGUCUUUCAGUUUGCCUCUCAGUACGUUUCCACAAACCCGAGUUUGACUCAGAAUUAGAGAGGGGAAUAAAAAUUUGACCUAUUAUCCCGAAUGUCUACGUUUGUACCGUCAAUACCUUAGUCGGUUCGACUUACGACGUCUCUUCUUCCGACACUCUUUCUUUCAUCCGCCUCCUACCCUAGGGUGCAUAUGUUUCUCUUCGAAAAAGGGUAUAACCUCUAGUCACAAUGUUCGAGCCCAAGGAAACUUCCACAUAGGUCGGGUACGUUCGAGUCUAGGAUCCAGAGCACAAUUGGUACCUGUUGAGGUACAGAGAGACUCAUUGAGUUAUCGGUUACCUAGAUGUUGUUGAGGUUUAGUAUUUGAACCAGGUCACGCUUCUUGGAGCGGUGAAUGUUCGUUAUUAGUUGGGUCUUCCACGAAACAGUGACGACGAUGACCACGUAAGUCCGAGAACUUCCACGAUUUCAUCUCAUCUUUCCUCCGAGUUGACUACGGACUGAACUAUCGGCGACACUGGGGUCAGUAAAUCUACACCACAACAUUCACAGUUUACACACACUAAAACAAGAGAGCAGUAGCUUAUCUUGACCUACCUCUACCAAGCAUUGUAGCUCCAAAUCGAAAACUGGAUAGUUGAUGAACAGACUUACUGAAAAUUGCAAUUACAACAUGUGUAAACACAGACCAAGGUAGAGUUACUAAAAAUUGCAAUUACAACAUACGUAAAGACAGACCGAGGUAGAAUUCGGAGGCCGCACACAAUCUUUGCGCCUCGUAGAGGUUGUCUUUUCACUCUC
RNAcentral lists this ribosomal RNA (2163 nucleotides) under Triticum aestivum (bread wheat). RNAcentral describes it as "partial small subunit ribosomal RNA". Lineage: Eukaryota; Viridiplantae; Streptophyta; Magnoliopsida; Poales; Poaceae. The record is from RNAcentral.